This 301-nucleotide ribosomal RNA is filed under the name uncultured bacterium. Its description in RNAcentral is "partial 16S ribosomal RNA". It matches the Rfam family "Bacterial small subunit ribosomal RNA", at positions 509 to 807 of the family's 1533-position model. The record is from RNAcentral.
CAGUCGCCGCGGGAAUACAGAGGGUGCGAGCGUUAAUCGGAUUUACUGGGCGUAAAGCGUGCGUAGGCGGCUUUUUAAGUCGGAUGUGAAAUCCCUGAGCUUAACUUAGGAAUUGCAUUCGAUACUGGGAAGCUAGAGUAUGGGAGAGGAUGGUAGAAUUCCAGGUGUAGCGGUGAAAUGCGUAGAGAUCUGGAGGAAUACCGAUGGCGAAGGCAGCCAUCUGGCCUAAUACUGACGCUGAGGUACGAAAGCAUGGGGAGCAAACAGGAUUAGAUACCCGCGUAGUCCCUGUCUCUUAUAC